GGAGGAAAAGAAACUAACAAGGAUUCCCCUAGUAACGGCGAGUGAAGCGGGAAGAGCUCAAAUUUGAAAUCUGGCAGUCUUCGAUUGUCCGAGUUGUAAUCUAUAGAGGCGUUUUCCGUGCCGGACCGUGUCCAAGUCUCCUGGAAAGGAGUAUCAAAGAGGGUGAUAAUCCCGUACUUAACACGACCACCGGUGCUCUGUGAUACGUCUUCUACGAGUCGAGUUGUUUGGGAAUGCAGCUCAAAAUGGGUGGUGAAUUCCAUCUAAAGCUAAAUAUUGGCGAGAGACCGAUAGCGAACAAGUACCGUGAGGGAAAGAUGAAAAGCACUUUGGAAAGAGAGUUAAACAGUACGUGAAAUUGUUGAAAGGGAAACGAUUGAAGUCAGUCGUGUUCUUUGGAUUCAGCCAGUUCUGCUGGUCUACUUCCUUGGAACGGGUCAACAUCAGUUUUGUCCGGUGGAUAAAGGUAGUAGGAAUGUGACUUCUCCGGAAGUGUUAUAGCCUAUUAUCACAUACACUGGGUGAGACUGAGGACUGCAGCUCGCCUUUAUGGCCGGUCUUCGGACACGUUCGAGCUUAGGAUGUUGACAUAAUGGCUUUAAACGACCCGUCUUGAA
This 617-nucleotide ribosomal RNA is filed under the name Trichosporon japonicum. RNAcentral describes it as "partial large subunit ribosomal RNA". It matches the Rfam family "Eukaryotic large subunit ribosomal RNA", at positions 52 to 658 of the family's 3401-position model. The record is from RNAcentral. Lineage: Eukaryota; Fungi; Basidiomycota; Tremellomycetes; Trichosporonales; Trichosporonaceae.